UUUUUAGCAUAAAACGGAAUCGCAUCUUCACGGGCAUUACACACUAAACGCUUGGCGCCUUCUUGGCGCGCUAAGGACUCCAAAGCGACCAAAA
RNAcentral lists this small RNA (94 nucleotides) under Vibrio cholerae O1 biovar El Tor str. N16961. Lineage: Bacteria; Pseudomonadati; Pseudomonadota; Gammaproteobacteria; Vibrionales; Vibrionaceae. The record is from RNAcentral.